RNAcentral lists this ribosomal RNA (584 nucleotides) under uncultured bacterium. RNAcentral's name for it is "partial 16S ribosomal RNA". It matches the Rfam family "Bacterial small subunit ribosomal RNA", at positions 355 to 937 of the family's 1533-position model. The record is from RNAcentral.
UGGGGAAUUUUGGACAAUGGGCGAAAGCCUGAUCCAGCAAUGCCGCGUGUGUGAAGAAGGCCUUCGGGUUGUAAAGCACUUUUGUCCGGAAAGAAAUCCUUGGCUCUAAUACAGUCGGGGGAUGACGGUACCGGAAGAAUAAGCACCGGCUAACUACGUGCCAGCAGCCGCGGUAAUACGUAGGGUGCAAGCGUUAAUCGGAAUUACUGGGCGUAAAGCGUGCGCAGGCGGUUUGCUAAGACCGAUGUGAAAUCCCCGGGCUCAACCUGGGAACUGCAUUGGUGACUGGCAGGCUAGAGUAUGGCAGAGGGGGGUAGAAUUCCACGUGUAGCAGUGAAAUGCGUAGAGAUGUGGAGGAAUACCGAUGGCGAAGGCAGCCCCCUGGGCCAAUACUGACGCUCAUGCACGAAAGCGUGGGGGAGCAAACAGGAUUAGAUACCCUGGUAGUCCACGCCCUAAACGAUGUCAACUAGUUGUUGGGGAUUCAUUUCCUUAGUAACGUAGCUAACGCGUGAAGUUGACCGCCUGGGGAGUACGGUCGCAAGAUUAAAACUCAAUGAAUUGACGGGGUCAUAGCUGUUUCC